RNAcentral lists this ribosomal RNA (301 nucleotides) under uncultured bacterium. RNAcentral's name for it is "partial 16S ribosomal RNA". It matches the Rfam family "Bacterial small subunit ribosomal RNA", at positions 509 to 807 of the family's 1533-position model. The record is from RNAcentral.
CAGUCGCCACGGUAAAACGUAGGGUGCAAGCGUUAAUCGGAAUUACUGGGCGUAAAGCGUGCGCAGGCGGUUAUAUAAGACAGAUGUGAAAUCCCCGGGCUCAACCUGGGAACUGCAUUUGUGACUGUAUAGCUAGAGUACGGCAGAGGGGGAUGGAAUUCCGCGUGUAGCAGUGAAAUGCGUAGAUAUGCGGAGGAACACCGAUGGCGAAGGCAAUCCCCUGGGCCUGUACUGACGCUCAUGCACGAAAGCGUGGGGAGCAAACAGGAUUAGAUAACCCCGUAGUCCCUGUCUCUUAUAC